GUUCUGGUAUUUCAGUGGUUAGCACGUACCUCCGGAAAGGAUAAGACGCGAGUUCAAUUCCCGCCCGGGGUC
Molecule: non-coding RNA, 72 nt
Organism: Parelaphostrongylus tenuis
Lineage: Eukaryota; Metazoa; Nematoda; Chromadorea; Rhabditida; Metastrongylidae
Source: the annotation of a GenBank genome assembly